UGUGUAUAUAAAAUUAGCUGCUCCAGUUUUUUUUUAUCUGUAACUUUAGCCAUGGAGAACUGCAAAUAUGUUACUACUGCUCUCAAUAACAAUGCUUCCCUGAAUUUAUCAACUUGACAUUUGUAGCUAUCUACAAAUGUCAGUCAGAAAAAGUUAUAUGAUGGACUACUUUCUGGAUGACGAUUGUGCCAUGCUGACUCUCUCUCACUCUGAAAAGAACACAUUUUGAAAUCAGUGGAACAUAACCGGCCAAACAAGCUGUGCAAACUAAACGGAAACAACACAGGAUGUCUUAUAAAAGGGGUGAAGCUUUCAUCCAUGUAUACAGAUGGCUGGCUAGCUAGCUUUGUCUGAGAUUGCCGGUGUUGUGAAGGACAGCACUUUGACGGGGGUCACCAUCCCACAGCUGGUUGGACUGGAGGAUGGUACAGUGCUGGUGGAAAGCUAUGGCUGGCAACAACACCUGACUCAGUACUUCAGGCCACUGCCACAUACUGUAUCAAGCAGUACCAGCACUUCAGGUAAAAAAUAAUUUCCAUUGUAUGAGUUUAUUCUUAUCUAAACUUUGGAGGUGAAUUGAUGUUGUGCAGGGUUGUAAUGUCUUCAGAUUUUUAGUUAUUCCCUAUUUUACAUCUUCAAUGCUCUGGAGCCUGGUGUUGUCAACCAAGGAGCGUUCGGACUGUCGGGACCAGGUUUCAGCUGCCGCGCAUCUUUCCUCCCAUAGAUGGUCUGCCUGUAAAAGCACCACCUGGACUGGCCAUAGACAAAAUAUAUUUUUGACAAGUUCAGGGAGUUUAGCGACGAAGAGGCUAUGGACAUCACAUGCCCUGGACCAAAGUCAAGGGCAGGGCAGAAAUGCGUGGUUUGGACGGACCAGUCAUGAGCACUAUCACACACACCAUACUUUGCUGCUACAAUUUAUUUAUCCUGCUGCUCAGCCACUUUACCCCUGAUUGUAUGCAUAUAACUACCUCGUCUAUCACUGAUAUCAUUAUUGACAUUGUUCUUGCACAUACUGUAUAUGUUAUAUAUAGUGACACCCUCCAUUUCUGAUAUUGUUACUAUGCAAGUAACCAUUUGGCUGUAACGUUUACACCUUCUGUAGAGACCAUCCACUUAGCAACAUAUUGAUAUAUAAUUAAUAUUGAUGUGUGGUCGUAACAUGAUUUUGUGACAUACCACAACAAUAUAAUGUGACCGUAUUAAGUGUCCACCCUUAUAAAUAUAUGGCGCAUGCAUCUGUUUAUGUACAGUACAUGUGCACCUCACUUAGGUUUCAACUCAUGUAUAGAUUACUAUGUGAUAAGUGCAUGUGUAACAGUAUAUAAAGUAUGCUAAUUUACUGGUGUGAAGGUAUUUGGGCAGUGCUGUAAAGUACUUAAGUAAAAAUACUUGAAAGUACUACUUAAGUAGUUUGUGGUAUCUGUACAUUACUUUACUAUUUUAUAUUUUUGGCUACUUUUACUUCACUACAUUCGUAAAGAAAAAUGUACUUUUUACUUUAAUACAUUUUCCCUGACACCCAAAAGUACUUACUUUUUGACAGGAAAAUGGUCCAAUUCACACACUUAUCCAGAGAACAUCCCUGGUCAUCCCUACUGCCUCUGAUCUGGCCGAAUCACUAAACACAAAUGCUUCUUGUAAAUUAUGUCUGAGUGUUGGAGUGUGCCCCUGGCAAUUGUCAAUAAAAAAAAGAUUUAAAAAAUAUAA
Oncorhynchus nerka (sockeye salmon) is the source of this 1710-nucleotide long non-coding RNA. RefSeq lists it as uncharacterized. Lineage: Eukaryota; Metazoa; Chordata; Actinopteri; Salmoniformes; Salmonidae. The transcript has 2 exons. The record is from RefSeq and is a predicted model, not a curated record.